This 324-nucleotide ribosomal RNA is filed under the name uncultured eukaryote. Its description in RNAcentral is "partial 18S ribosomal RNA". It matches the Rfam family "Eukaryotic small subunit ribosomal RNA", at positions 1470 to 1796 of the family's 1831-position model. The record is from RNAcentral.
CCCUUAGAUGUCCUGGGCUACACGCGCGCUACACUGAUGUGUCCAGUAAGCACCUAACCUCUUCCGAAAGGAACGGGUAACCUUUGCAAAGCACAUCGUGAUGGGGAUAGAUUAUUGCAAUUAUUAGUCUUGAACGAGGAAUUCCUAGUAAGCACAAGUCAUCAGCUUGUGUUGAUUACGUCCCUGCCCUUUGUACACACCGCCCGUCGCUCCUACCGAUUGAAUGUUCCGGUGAGCUCUUCGGACUGCGCGGUCUGCAGUUUCUGCGUUCCGUGCGGAAAGUUGCGCAAACCUUAACAUUUAGAGGAAGGAGAAGUCGUAACA